Long non-coding RNA from Carassius auratus (goldfish), 685 nucleotides. RefSeq lists it as uncharacterized. The record is from RefSeq and is a predicted model, not a curated record. NCBI's taxonomy places the organism in Eukaryota, Metazoa, Chordata, Actinopteri, Cypriniformes, Cyprinidae. The transcript has 6 exons.
UACAAUCCCUUCAACAGAACGUCUGACUUUAAGACACAGGAAGUGAUGUCACCCGGCGUCUCUGAGAUGAACCUGUUCGGUCUGAACAGAAGCGUGAGUCCCGUUAACAGUCCGUCUCUGAGCCAGCGCACACGGAUCCCGGGAUACGACAGUCUGCCUCGCCGACGAGACAAGGCGACUCCAAGUCAACUCAUGCACGAAACAACCAAACCAAACCGAACAAACUGGACUUCAUCCAGGAGCUGACCAAACAGCUGGAGGACUGCCGCAGGAGAAACCAGUUUCUGGAAGCGGAGAGCAUCGAGAUGGAGAAGGAGAGGAACCAGAUCCGCUUCGAGAUGCGAGGUCUGCUGGUGAACAACGAAGAUCUGCUGCGGACGAACACACAGAUGCAGGGCGAGAGCAACCGUCUGCGAGAGAAGAUCGUGGAGCUAGAGAGCAACACAACGUCAUGCAGGAGCGCUUCAGACAGAUAGAGAAAGAGCUGAAGGAGGCGCGUGAGGUGAUGGUCGAGGCAAACACUCAGGAAUACGCUUUCAGCUUCCUGCAGCAGACGCUCAAGAACCAAAUACAGGACACUGAGGAAGCUCUGGAGAAACAGACACAACACGCUCAGACUGUGUCAGAGAAACUGUGGCUCGCCGAGAGGAGCCUGGAGGAACUACAGCUGGAGAAGGAGAUAAAG